Molecule: small nuclear RNA, 107 nt
Filed under: Rhinopithecus roxellana (golden snub-nosed monkey)
Lineage: Eukaryota; Metazoa; Chordata; Mammalia; Primates; Cercopithecidae
Source: RNAcentral
GUGCUCACUUUGGCAGCACACUUACUAAAAUUGGAACGAUACAGAGAAGAUUAGCAUGGCCGUUGUGCAAGGAUGACAUGCAAAUUCGUGAAGCAUUCCAUAUUUUG